Molecule: ribosomal RNA, 966 nt
Filed under: Triticum aestivum (bread wheat)
Lineage: Eukaryota; Viridiplantae; Streptophyta; Magnoliopsida; Poales; Poaceae
Description: partial small subunit ribosomal RNA
Source: RNAcentral
AUGAAAAAUCUGCUUAAAUUUCUCAAUAAGGAGGAUAUACCUUGGAUUAAUUUGAUCUGGGAGAAAUAUUACCACACUGAACUGCCAAGAAGGAAAGUUGAAGGCUCUUUCUGGUGGAAGUCUCAUAUUGCUCUCCUGGAGAGAUUCAAACAAAUCAGCAAAUGCUCCAUUGGGUCAGGACAAUCUAUUCUCUGUUGGUCAGAUACUUGGUUGGAACAGCAGCUCCAAUCUUUGCUCCCUCACCUUCACUCCUUUGCCCUUCAUGAGGAUCAAUCGGUACUAAGUUUCUUUCAGGAGGAAAAUUGGAUUGAUCAGUUCCAUUUACCUCUCUCUGUAGUAGCAUUUGAAGAAUUCAACCAGCUCCCCUCUUUGGCUCCGACCUUAGACCCACAAGUUAAAGAUAGGUGGAACAUUAUUGGUGCUUCUGGCAGGCCCUCUUCAAUUCUGAUCUAUAAUUUGCUUCUGGACAAUCAUGAGGAGCAUCCGUUUUUCAGUCUCAUUUGGGAUAGCUCCAGCAGGCUAAAGCAUAAAAUCUUUUUUUGGUUGGUAGCUCACUGUCGAAUCAACACUAGGGCUCUUCUUCUAAGGAAAGGCAUGCACCUUGAUGAUACCUUUUGCCCUAACUGUAGUCAGCAAGCAGAAGAAACUCCUAUGCAUUUAUUGUGGGAUUGCAGUUUUGCGCAAGACUGCUGGAACUCUCUGAUUCCAAACAGACGAAGAGGAACUUCUGUUUAUGAGGACACCAUCUUGGCCAUGCAGCUCCUUCCAAAACAAUUUGCUGUCGAAAUCCUUAUUUUGGGUUGUUGGAACAUUUGGAUUCAGCGAAAUAACUUUGUGUUCAGAGCACUUCCUCAUUCAAUUCAGUCUUGGAGAUACCACCUCAAGAAUGAUCUUAAGCUACUUCGACAUAAGAUCAAGCAAAAGUUUGCAGUUCGCUUUUCACAGUGGAUAGAUCAUAAUCUGUAA